CAGUAAUUUGGCCUAUGAUCAGAUGUCGAGGUCAUUCCUGCUAGCUAGCAGUCACCUGUCAUCCUGAGUAAGUUUGACUGUAGCUGUACAUGACUUUCAUCGCCGCUUCUGAUGUCUAGUAACUGGGGCCAACCGUCAAGUACCGGUACUCAUCAUCAUUAUCAACGGAAUGAGGAGGGUGGUAUGGGUGUGUUGGUUUCCCCGUCUCUUUCUUCGAGGUGAGUCUUUAGGUCGUUUAGUGGGUACGGUCCAGACUAGACCAACACACACGAGAACUAGCAGAGAAAGGUACUACUACCACAACGACAACGACCGCAGCCCCUCAAGUAGAUGUUACCCAAGCGGCCGUCGUUGGAGACGGAGUUGCCACGUCGAAGGCAUUGUGCCCUCCCGCAGGAAUGAGAGUGCAGCUUGUUGAAGUUGUAGGUCCCCGUGCCGAAGAAAGGACUUCGACAAGGGGACUAGCCAGGGGUACCCUUCAGGUACUCGAAGAGCUGGUGAAAGCACAAGCGGUAGUGCGGUAUGGUGAGACCAGCAAGGCCGCUACCCAACCGUAAACAAUAGACGCGGCGGGGUCUAAACAGGUGACGUGAGGGCCCCGGUAUGAACCCGGAGCAGCUAGGUAUGUUGUUCAAGGGUCGAUGUUUGGGCAAGAAGCGGUAUCUCGAACUGUGGCGGUUUCUGGAUCUCAAGCUUCUAUAUCUGUUAUUGGUACAGCGCCAACUAGAGUUAUCGGAGUUCAGACGGUCGAGAUCGUGGCGCCCGAUGAUGUAGCUGUAGCUGCUACUGUGCCUCCCAAUACGAUGACUCCGUUCGAAGUUCCGCAACUCCGAAAGAUUACCUUUAGGCUACGUCCAUACCCACCUGAUAUUGUCGAUGUUGCCGGUUGAGCUACAGCGCGAACGAGGACAGGGGUACAGAUUCGGGUCAGACGGCGAAAACAGAAUGAGGCCGAUGAGACAGUUGGAACGGUUCAAAAACCCCAAAUUGCUGUGUCAAGUACAACCGAAGAGGCGGCGCUGCCCACUACUCGUACCGCCGUGAGUAGUCUAAGAACCUACCUCGAAGUCGUACUCACCUGGCCGCUUUGGUGAACUGAUGAGCAACGACGGUGAUUUCGUUCUCUUCCUAAAGUUCUUUUUUGAGUAGUUUACCGACGAACGUAGAAGCAAGUAGUAUGACGAACGUCCAUAUUAUUAUCGGACAGAAGAAUAAGCUGCCACCGCGUUCUGGUCUGUACUUCUCUCCUGCCUAGUUCUGACCCUCCGACUCGAGCCGGGGGCGGCGAAGCGUAUGUUCCUGGAGGCGUCCCGUUGGGUACCGAAGGUACUUUACGUCGAAGAGCCCUUUCCGCCGAAACCCGUUCAGAUAUCUCCUCAGGAACGGAGGAGUCCGUAUCUGUAGCGCCACUUCGCCCAGAGGAGUCUAAGUUCCGUCCCCGACUGUCUUAAGUGCCGCCUCUAGUAGUAGGAACCGGCGUAUGCCGUGGCCUUGGAACAGGCGGACCAGCCGAUAACGGCCGUGUUCCUGCUCGAAGAGGACCAGAUGCUCAUGUACGGGUUACCGUCAGACCUAUCGAUGGACGUGCGGGUCUGAUCGUCGGUGCACUGCGAGACGACCGGAGUCUCCGAAGUGUAGUAGUUUCCACAGCGUAGGCCCGAAGACAUGGAGGUGCUCCUGACCCUCGUCCAACAGAAUGUGGCGCUGUAGUUCCGGUCGUUGUAGGAGGAACUGCCCCUCUACUUGCCGGCCGACCCGCUGAAGCCGGAACGUUCCGACGUGCUGGUACCACGACUGCGCGUGUGGUGUGUACACCGGCCGUGUUCCCCGAUGGAGCGGGGACUUAAUUGCUCCAAACCGUUCCGCUGGUUCCGGUGACUACACAUGCGAAAGCCACGAAAGUAAGACCUUCACUGGACGCCCUCCGCCGGCCACCCCGAGUUGCAGGCACCGCUCGAAGACCACGAGCAGGUCACCCACUCUUUGUGCACCCGCUCGACGAGACCGAACUAACAACUGUGACACCUAGGCUCCGACCUACUGAAGCAAUGGUUGCUCCGCCUCGACCACGAGUUCGAUCCCGACAACACGAGCGUGGGGAAUGGACGCCGCUCCGGGCCUUACGCGGAGCAAUACGUGAUGGAGCUGCCCCUGAACGGAAACGGACUCAAGAGAGGGCCUAUAGAGUUGUAAUGUCUACAGCUAGUCCAAGAACUGCUUCACGGAGGGAGCCACAGCUUGUGGUAAUGUCCGGACAGCCCACCGUCUACUUUAUAAAUCCGGCCGGUUCUUUUACGACCGCUUAGUUACAUAGACGAACACUAUAGGGGUCGCAGUCAUCUCGCGAAGGGUUAGAACUCCUCACUGGAUCGUCAUUUAAUAUAACAUCGGCGUUCAAUGUCGUGAUAUGGCAUACUGGACGUGUGUAAAAAAAAGAAAAAAAACUCUUUUCCUGGACGUGUGUAAACUGUUUUUUUUUAGUAGUCAGUUUCCGAACGUGUGUGUAUCUCAACUUUUCUUUGGUUUGUUCACUAACUUAUCCAGGGUUUUCGUUCCGGCCGGGACAAAAAAUUUGAGAUCGUCGUGGUAUAUAUACAGGUAUAAACAACAAAUUGCACCUGACAAAAAAAAAAGAACCGUUAGACUGCGGGAGUUUCCCCCGAGUUGAAAUAAGUAUAGCCGUAGGGUUUUGUCACAUGUCCCUCAUCAAAGGGACUUCCUUUCCUUUACCGAAGUUUUCGGUAAAACUUUAAUGUAGAUCUCCGAAAUGACGUAGCCUAUCUCGUUGAUCUCCUACUAGACGUACUCUUUCGGAAAAAACGAUCUCUCACUCCUUCCUCUAACAAUUAGGAACCUUAUACACACUGGAACUUUCUCAAUCCGAGCUACAUUAUAACAUCUUUAGACGUUCAUUAUCAGACUAAGAGGUUACAGGACCUAAGACUUCACUUAAGGAACUAAGUCGUCGAAGUUGGUUUCAGGACGUUAGUCUUCUUUCUCUGGCGUAAGGUCGGGUUCUGAAACUGUUGGCUUCGUCGAUCUUCAUCCGGGUAGCGAAGACGGACGUUUUGUCUUUUGUGUAAGCUCCCGGCGGCGAACAAACUUCUACCUUACUAAUCUUAGAAGUAAAAAGUCCUUAUGAGGUUUAAUACUUCGAAGUAAAGGACGGUGCCGACCUAAUUUUCGGCGUAGUUGUAUUCGGUCUUCUGGACGUACAACGUUCCUGAUUUAAAACCAAACAAACCCUUUGACGACGAGUAUUUCUCUAGUUGAUUCCAGACUCACAGACUGAAGAAAAUUGGUUCCAGACUGACUUCAUUGAACAAACGACGAACACUUGUACGUCACGAUGUCGUCGACCGUUUAGCCGUUAUCAGUGCCACGCAUUCCUUAGCGAAUGAUGUUAAAGGUAGGGCUAAUCGGCGGUAGUGGCCUUUCCCCCCUUCUUCUAAGUGGAACAGCUACGCCUCCUCUGGUACCACCUUCCGCCGUCACUCCCCUGAGCGACCUCUGCCCUCGCCGUCGGCCACGCCCUUGUUUACACGUCCAUGCCCUCUCGCCACCGUACGGUGUUCUCGUCCGGCCGCUUGCCUUCCUCUUCGAGCUCUAGCGGCGGCGGCGUCCGGCGCGGCCUCGAGGCACCCGCCACCAUCCCUGAUCCCUCCGCGUCCUUACCCGGUCGCGCUGUCGGAUGGUUUGGAGCGGGGGCCCGAAAAUCACCCGGUCGUCACGUCCAUCUGUUACCCGAUGUCGAGCGCCUCUUAGUUCGGGAGUUUUUUUAUUUAUAGGGAAGUAGUAGUGUUUUUGUUUUUUUGUUUUCGUUCUCCUAGGGG
RNAcentral lists this ribosomal RNA (3833 nucleotides) under Triticum aestivum (bread wheat). RNAcentral's name for it is "partial small subunit ribosomal RNA". Lineage: Eukaryota; Viridiplantae; Streptophyta; Magnoliopsida; Poales; Poaceae. The record is from RNAcentral.